This 549-nucleotide ribosomal RNA is filed under the name uncultured bacterium. RNAcentral's name for it is "bacterial SSU rRNA". It matches the Rfam family "Bacterial small subunit ribosomal RNA", at positions 355 to 896 of the family's 1533-position model. The record is from RNAcentral.
UGGGGAAUUUUGGACAAUGGGCGCAAGCCUGAUCCAGCCAUGCCGCGUGUCUGAAGAAGGCCUUCGGGUUGUAAAGGACCUUUGUCAGGGAAGAAAAGGCUGUUGCUAAUAUCGACAGCUGAUGACGGUACCUGAAGAAUAAGCACCGGCUAACUACGUGCCAGCAGCCGCGGUAAUACGUAGGGUGCGAGCGUUAAUCGGAAUUACUGGGCGUAAAGCGAGCGCAGACGGUUACUUAAGCAGGAUGUGAAAUCCCCGGGCUCAACCUGGGAACUGCGUUCUGAACUGGGUGACUAGAGUGUGUCAGAGGGAGGUAGAAUUCCACGUGUAGCAGUGAAAUGCGUAGAGAUGUGGAGGAAUACCGAUGGCGAAGGCAGCCUCCUGGGAUAACACUGACGUUCAUGCUCGAAAGCGUGGGUAGCAAACAGGAUUAGAUACCCUGGUAGUCCACGCCCUAAACGAUGUCAAUUAGCUGUUGGGCAACUUGAUUGCUUAGUAGCGUAGCUAACGCGUGAAAUUGACCGCCUGGGGAGUACGGUCGCAAGAUUA